This is a long non-coding RNA of Helianthus annuus (common sunflower), 859 nucleotides long. RefSeq lists it as uncharacterized. The transcript is spliced from 4 exons. NCBI's taxonomy places the organism in Eukaryota, Viridiplantae, Streptophyta, Magnoliopsida, Asterales, Asteraceae. The record is from RefSeq and is a predicted model, not a curated record.
GCGCCAUUCCAUUCUCUUUACACGCGUGUAUACUUUUCCUCUAUUUUGUAAACCCUAAUUACUAUACAACCGUUUCAAAAUCAUCUAUUCAUCUUCUCUCCAAUUUCUUCCUAGAAUACCAAUCAGUUUCCAUAUAACAAAGAUUAUUGUCAAGCAAGAUACAUAUACAGAUGAUUACACGUUCUUCAAGAUCUCCGUCUACUUCAUCAUUUUCUUAAAUCGAUUUCUGAAUAUCUUCCAUCGAUCUCCAAAUCUUUAAGAUGCGUUUGUUUAAUUCUGUCUUUAAUCAUCCUUUAUGCUUUCUUCCGUUUACUUACUGUUUUAAAAUUACGUUUCUUUUAUAUAAACCCUAAAUCCGUUUAUAAUCGAAAAUCUGUUGAUUUUGUCUAUUAACAUUAUGGUUUUGUUAUAUAAAUUGAUGGUUAUGGUUAUGCAAAGGCCUAAAUCCUAUUUGUGAUGAAUAUUUGCGUGAUUUGAGGAAGAGGAGGAUUCUGAAAUCUGUGCAUAGGUUUGUUAGAUGGCCACAAGUUUCAUGAUUCAGAGGAAGAGGAGGAUUUUGAAACAGAGGUUGAAGGUUCCACCGACUUUGAAUCAGUUUACUAAGACGCUUGAUAAGAAUCUAGGUAUUGUAUGUAUCUUUACAUAGACAUGAAGGUGGAACAUUUUAUCCUAGUACUGGCGCAGUCCAAACUAAUGUCAGAUCAUGAACAUGAUGAUUCCGAUACUGAGUUCAUUGAUAUCGAUAUAGCUGGUUCUUAUGGUUGGGUAUUGUAUCUAUCUUUACAUAGACAUGAAGGUGGAAAAUUUACAGCCUAAAAAUGGAAGCUUAAGGCCCAUAUGCAAGACCGUGAAGUUGUGA